GAUGGAACCCGCAGCCUUGUUAUGUGCCCUGACCGGGAAUGGAACCCGUGACCCUUCGGUGCAGGGGACACGCUCUAACUCACCGAGACACGGGCCAGGGCUCUGGGAGCCACUUUACAGAUGAGGAAACUGAGGCUCAAGGAGGCUACGCGAGAAAAGCCCAAGGUCACACAAUUGAGAAGAGGUGAGGCCUGGAUGGAGCCCUGGUCGCCUGACUCCAGAACCCACGUUCUGAAAUCCUCUGCACUUUCUACUGCGGGCGCAGCCUGAUGAGGAAACUGAAGCUCAGAGAAGGACUUGACUUGUCUAAGGUCUAAAAUCACACAGCAAGGAACUGGCGGAGCCGGGAUCAGAACCCAGGCAUCCUUGACUCCAGAGUUGUUUAACCAGAACCACACACCUGACCCCGCCAGCUGCCCACAGGUAGGGAAGGGAAGAGGGAGAGCAUUCCACCCACCCAGCCUGAGCCAGCUUAGAGCCAGCCCCAUGCACCCCCAGGAUCCCUUGUGGUGUGAGAGGGAAUAGCAACUGCGAGAGGAGUUACCCAGGGAUCUGAGGGCCCCCACCACGUCCUUGGUGAAAGGAAGCCCAGACCUACAGAACACCCAUAGGAGGCACUCACUUGUGAGUGGGUCCAGCCUGUGCCGGCUGGUGGGAGUCAUGGCUGGUCAUCCCACCUCAUUUUUAUGUGGGCCCAGUCCUACCACCUCAGUUUUCCCCGCUUUCCCCUCCCACACCUGGUCUCCAGUCUGCUCUGGAUCCCUCCUGCUGGACCUCUCCCACCCAUCCUACCUUCUCAGCAGACGAACCCGUGCAGCCUAGCGCUGUGCUGUCCAAUACAGUGGCCACUGACCACAUGUGACUGUUGAGCACUUGAAAUGUAAUGAAUGCAGCGGAGGAACUAAAUUUUAAAUCUUAUUUAACUUUAAUCAAUUUACAUUUAAGUUUUAAAAUUGACAAUGUUGUUAUUGGAAAACAUUUAAAUAUGUGUGGAACAACUUGGGUAUGUAAAUCAUUUUUUCAACUGCAAAUUUUAUGAAAUCUAAAUACAGGUAAUUCUCUAAUGAAAACUUAGCAACUGCUGUAAGUGUAAAAACUAGGCAGGCACCAGAUUUUGAACACUUAGUAAAAUA
Long non-coding RNA from Myotis myotis, 1133 nucleotides. RefSeq lists it as uncharacterized. The record is from RefSeq and is a predicted model, not a curated record. NCBI's taxonomy places the organism in Eukaryota, Metazoa, Chordata, Mammalia, Chiroptera, Vespertilionidae. The transcript is spliced from 3 exons.